RNAcentral lists this small RNA (353 nucleotides) under Escherichia fergusonii. RNAcentral describes it as "cspA thermoregulator". It matches the Rfam family "cspA thermoregulator", at positions 28 to 369 of the family's 428-position model. The record is from RNAcentral. Lineage: Bacteria; Pseudomonadati; Pseudomonadota; Gammaproteobacteria; Enterobacterales; Enterobacteriaceae.
CAUUUUCAGUAAAGAAGUCCAGAGUAAACACGUUGACGUUGAAUACCGCUUCUCUGCCGAACCUUAUAUUAGUGCCUCAUGCAGUAAUGUCUCAGUUUUAUCUAUGUUAAGCCUGCGGGCGAAGAAUAUACUCUAAGGAAUUUUGCAAAUGGCAAAGAUUAAAGGUCAAGUUAAGUGGUUCAACGAGUCAAAAGGUUUUGGCUUCAUUACUCCGGCAGAUGGUAGCAAAGACGUAUUCGUACACUUCUCUGCUAUUCAGGGUAAUGGCUUCAAAACUCUGGCAGAAGGCCAGAACGUUGAGUUCGAAAUUCAGGACGGCCAGAAAGGUCCGGCUGCUGUUAACGUAACAGCUA